RNAcentral lists this ribosomal RNA (321 nucleotides) under Cercomonas sp. Its description in RNAcentral is "SSU rRNA". The stretch from base 55 to 321 matches the Rfam family "Eukaryotic small subunit ribosomal RNA", at positions 687 to 955 of the family's 1831-position model. The record is from RNAcentral. Lineage: Eukaryota; Cercozoa; Cercomonadida; Cercomonadidae.
GAUUUCUGGUACGGCGCGCUUGGCCCGCCAGGGUUACCUGGUUGUGUGCUGGUGCGCGCCUGCCAUCCUUUUGCAUUUCAGUUCUAUCCUUUACUGGUGUGAACUGUUUUGUAAAUCUUUUACUUUGAAAAAAUUAGAGUGUUUAAAGCAGGCUAUUGCUAUGAAUACAUUAGCAUGGAAUAAUAAUCUAGGACUUCGGUUCUAUUUUGUUGGUUUUUAGGACUGAAGUAAUGAUUGAUAGGGACAGUUGGGGGUGCUAGUAUUCAGCGGCCAGAGGUGAAAUUCUCGGAUUCGCUGAAGACUAACUUAUGCGAAAGCAUU